AAAGUAAAAAUCACAUCCACAUCUGAGGAAAACAUUUUUGUUAAGUACACUGCAACCCUCCUGGAUGUUUACAAAGCUGGCGAAGCAGCUGUGGAAAGAGCCGCUGAAAUUACCUUCCUUAAGAAGACAAAUUGUGCUAACACUGACUUGGAGAAAGGAAGUCAGUAUUUGAUUAUGGGCAAGGAAGCUCUCCAGAUCAAACACAACUUCAGCUUCAAGUAUAUCUACCCUUUAGAUUCCUCCACAUGGAUUGAAUAUUGGCCCACAGAUACACAGUGUCCAUCGUGCCAAGCGCUUUUAGCUAACUUAGAUGACUUUGCUGAUGACAUCUUCCUAAAUGGCUGCGAAGUAGCCUGAAGUCAACUGGGAAGGAAUUUGGAUUCCUGGUAUCAAAGCUUCCUUCUCCCACCUGCUCCCCUUCACCACCACCACCCAUUUUUUCAAUAUGCACAGCUGCUUGUAUUUGGAAACCUCACUUUUCUUAGGAUUGAGUGGCACUUGCCUUUAUUAAAGAACAAUUUUAAGGGCUGUCA
Molecule: long non-coding RNA, 533 nt
Organism: Suncus etruscus (white-toothed pygmy shrew)
Lineage: Eukaryota; Metazoa; Chordata; Mammalia; Eulipotyphla; Soricidae
Exons: 3
Source: RefSeq, a predicted model, not a curated record